GACGAACGCUGGCGGCGUGCUUAACACAUGCAAGUCGAACGGGAUCCGGGCUUUCGGGUUUGGUGAGAGUGGCGAACGGGUGAGUAACACGUGAGUAACCUGCCCCCUUCUUUGGGAUAACGUCGGGAAAUCGGCGCUAAUACUGGAUAUUCUUGCUGCAUCGCAUGGCGUGGUUUGGAAAGGGUUUCUGGUGGGGGAUGGGCUCGCGGCCUAUCAGCUUGUUGGUGGGGUGAUGGCCUACCAAGGCUUUGACGGGUAGCCGGCCUGAGAGGGUGUCCGGCCACACUGGGACUGAGACACGGCCCAGACUCCUACGGGAGGCAGCAGUGGGGAAUAUUGCACGAUGGGCGCAAGCCUGAUGCAGCGACGCCGCGUGAGGGAUGACGGCCUUCGGGUUGUAAACCUCUUUCAGUAUGGAACAAGGAUCCUUCUUUUGGGGGGUUUGAGGGUACGUGCAGAAGAAGCGCCGGCUAACUACGUG
This 481-nucleotide ribosomal RNA is filed under the name uncultured bacterium. RNAcentral's name for it is "partial 16S ribosomal RNA". It matches the Rfam family "Bacterial small subunit ribosomal RNA", at positions 28 to 507 of the family's 1533-position model. The record is from RNAcentral.